Molecule: long non-coding RNA, 1015 nt
Filed under: Brassica rapa (field mustard)
Lineage: Eukaryota; Viridiplantae; Streptophyta; Magnoliopsida; Brassicales; Brassicaceae
Description: long non-coding RNA (BRAP_LNC005805)
Source: RNAcentral
GAUAUUCUAAAAUUUCAUGAAUGCGAAAUCUAGACUGAAUUCAGACGGCUACAUGUGGUAAAAUUUGCUUAUGAAAUUUAUGUUUUGCUUCUAUGCAUGCAUUGUAUAAGGCACAUUGUACGAAUUAUAAGAAUAACAAUAUUUUUGAAAAUAUGGUAAGUUCAGUUACAAUAUAUUCUAAAAAUAUUUGGAAAUCCUUUUACUUUCCUAAAACAGUGUUUCAGCUAUUUUUCUUGCUCAAAACUAAAAUUAAAAAUAAUUUUCAAUUAUUUAUUUUGAUUUAUUUUCUAAAAAUCGAUUUUCAAAAAAAAGUUAUUUUAUUUUAAAUUAUUUUUUAAUAAUAUAUGUAGAUAUUUAAAAUUAUAAUCUUAGAUAUAUUUUCAUUUAUUUAUUUUUAUUAAGAUAUAUUAAAUCCAAUUGUACAAAAUUAAAAAAAUGAUAAUUUUUUUUAUAAUCAUCAAAAAAGAAAACUAAACAGAAUUGAUAUUUUAAAUUGAUUUGGGGAUUAUUUAUUUAUUUAUUUAUUUGUUUCUUUUUAAAAUUUUUUAAUUAUAUUUUAAUUCAAUUUUUUUUGUUUUCUUUUUCUUUUUCUUUUUGGGUCAAAAUUUAUUUUUGUUUUUAAUUGAUAUAUAAAAGUGAGUUUUUUAGUAGUUAAUUGAUAAAGUAAGAGUAAGAUUGGGGAUUUUAAAAAGUAUUAUAUUAAAUGGACUGAUUUAGGUUGCUUUCAUACUAAAGACACAAAGAGAUUGUUGUUUUGUUUUAUUUUGGCAAAUUUUCCUUGUUUUUAUUCUAAACAGCUUGUAGGUUUGGUUUAACCAUAUUUAACUAUACGGUUAUCGUUGACAAAAAAAAACUAUACGAUUAUCAUGAUUUUUAACUUAAAAGGAUUGGUGGUUUCGUCCCAGAUUUAACUAUCAACUAGAGUUUGAACCCGCACGUCCGUGCGGAUAUUUUUUUCUUUUAUAAAUGUAUAAUUUUGAUAUUAAAUUUAUAUUUUAGUUUUAUAUAUUAUGUA